RNAcentral lists this long non-coding RNA (263 nucleotides) under Malus domestica (apple). RNAcentral describes it as "long non-coding RNA (MDOM_LNC013237)". Lineage: Eukaryota; Viridiplantae; Streptophyta; Magnoliopsida; Rosales; Rosaceae. The record is from RNAcentral.
AUAUAUAUACAGAUUGCUUAAGGGAAGGGAUCCCCAUUUUUUGAAAAAAAUGGGGAUUAGGUGUGGGGCCCACUCCACAUCGAAUUUCAACGAUCCGAACCGUCUAUUUUGUUAGUCUCGAUUCAUAGAUCAUCCUUGCAAAAAUUCAAUUCAAUCCAAAACCGUUUGCCUAUUUAAUUAUCAAGAUCAAAUUUCAUUUUUUCUUAUAUAACAAAGUAUUCGUUCAUUUCCUUGAACCCAAUUAGAUGUCUUAAACAUUUCCG